Molecule: ribosomal RNA, 595 nt
Filed under: Escherichia coli
Lineage: Bacteria; Pseudomonadati; Pseudomonadota; Gammaproteobacteria; Enterobacterales; Enterobacteriaceae
Description: partial 23S ribosomal RNA
Rfam family: Bacterial large subunit ribosomal RNA
Source: RNAcentral
UGGUGGGUAGUUUGACUGGGGCGGUCUCCUCCUAAAGAGUAACGGAGGAGCACGAAGGUUGGCUAAUCCUGGUCGGACAUCAGGAGGUUAGUGCAAUGGCAUAAGCCAGCUUGACUGCGAGCGUGACGGCGCGAGCAGGUGCGAAAGCAGGUCAUAGUGAUCCGGUGGUUCUGAAUGGAAGGGCCAUCGCUCAACGGAUAAAAGGUACUCCGGGGAUAACAGGCUGAUACCGCCCAAGAGUUCAUAUCGACGGCGGUGUUUGGCACCUCGAUGUCGGCUCAUCACAUCCUGGGGCUGAAGUAGGUCCCAAGGGUAUGGCUGUUCGCCAUUUAAAGUGGUACGCGAGCUGGGUUUAGAACGUCGUGAGACAGUUCGGUCCCUAUCUGCCGUGGGCGCUGGAGAACUGAGGGGGGCUGCUCCUAGUACGAGAGGACCGGAGUGGACGCAUCACUGGUGUUCGGGUUGUCAUGCCAAUGGCACUGCCCGGUAGCUAAAUGCGGAAGAGAUAAGUGCUGAAAGCAUCUAAGCACGAAACUUGCCCCGAGAUGAGUUCUCCCUGACUCCUUGAGAGUCCUGAAGGAACGUUGAAGACGAC